AUAAAAUUUUCCCAUGCGAUAUUUAAAUUUAUGCUUUCUUGCAAAUUGUAUGUACAUCAUUUCAAUCAUUAUAAUAUAAUAUACAAUAUUCAUUAAAAUUAUCAAUCUUCCACUAAUUCAUCAUGCGUGCAGUCACCAAUCGUAUAUCUCGUAUAUUCAUUCAUCAAAUUUAUAAACGCAAACCGUUUAUCAUUCUUCAUGCGUAAAUAUUCUUGAUUUUCGACUAUUUUUACCACACUCUAUUUAAUCUUCGUUCAUCCUAAAACACCUAGCGUGUUCUCCCCCCAAGCCGAACGGUUACUCUGCGCCCCUUCCAACCGGAAUAUUCACCAACCCCGCGAGUUUUUUCCCGUGCAUCGGCAGAUCGAAAUAAAACGGAAGGCAUAAUGAAAAUAACGGCGUCGCUGGACAGCGAAAGGAAUAAACGCGAGGUUGAGGGACGAUGGGCCGAGAGGCAGCGACAAGAGGAGGUGGCGGGCGGAAGGGGUGGGCGUUCUCACGAUUAUACGAAGCAACCCUUUGCUGCGUGAACACGCUGCGCCGGUCGUCGCGAGGCGAGGGCAUGCGUGCAGCCCUGCUAUAUCCAUUACGCUUAUUACAACCCCGACCGCCGCCACUAUCCUUUAACCAUCCGCUCCCUCGUACCACCCACCCUUUUACGUGGAUGAACAUCGAUCGACACCCGACCUGGAACAGUCCGGCCGCCAGAAAAGAAGCUUCUCUCUCAGCAGCGACAAAAGCAGCAACGCGUGGUCGUAUAUAGCUGCGCGCGAAAUGCGGCUCCACAAUUCACAGGAACAGAAUAUAGAGACAGAAGUGACGAAGAAGCACAAGGACGCGACGAGAGGAGGGAAAGGAACCCGCGGGGAGAAGUUCCAUGGACGAGCAGCUGUAUUAAGUGCGCCUAUAGAUUACACUCAGGGAAAAAGUGGAGACCCCGCGCGGCGCGCUAAAACGUUUCAGAAAAAAGAUUACCCUAUGCACUCCAUACGUCAUUCGGCCGUGGCUCGUUCGAGUGCACACGCGUAAGCACGAGUGUCUUCGCGCGGCGCCGCGCUGCUUUUCCGUCGGCCGGACGUCGCCAUCUUCGACUCUCGAAGAGCAAAAGUGAUUUUUUUCGAUAUUUUAAAGGCUGAGAAUCAUAAAUUACGUGGAAAUUAUUUUAAGAAAUUCAUAUUUAGAAACUAAUAUUUUUAUAUUCUCCGGUUGCAAUAUUGGAUUUUCAGUAAUUAAGUUAUAUCGAAAUAACUUAUAUCGA
This is a long non-coding RNA of Apis mellifera (honey bee), 1258 nucleotides long. RefSeq lists it as uncharacterized. The record is from RefSeq and is a predicted model, not a curated record. The transcript has 3 exons. Lineage: Eukaryota; Metazoa; Arthropoda; Insecta; Hymenoptera; Apidae.